RNAcentral lists this unclassified non-coding RNA (265 nucleotides) under Hevea brasiliensis (rubber tree). Lineage: Eukaryota; Viridiplantae; Streptophyta; Magnoliopsida; Malpighiales; Euphorbiaceae. The record is from RNAcentral.
UCUUGAAGAGCUUGGAAGGCCUAGAGUUGAUGUUGUUGUCAACUGCUCCGGGGUGUUCAGGGAUCUCUUCAUCAAUCAGAUGAAUCUCCUUGACCGAGGAAUCAAGAUGGUUGCUGAGCUUGAUGAACCGGAAGACCAAAACUUUGUCAGGAAACAUGCACUAGAACAGGCAAAAACACUCGGAAUUGAUGUUCGUGAAGCAGCUACUAGGGUCUUCUCAAACGCUUCGGGUUCUUACUCUUCCAACAUCAACCUAGCUGUUGAG